UACAGAGGUCUCAAGCGUUGUUCGGAUUCAUUGGGCGUAAAGGGCUCGUAGGUGGCUUUGUAAGUCGGAGGUGAAAUCCCACGGCUCAACCGUGGACACGCCUUCGAAACUGUGAAGCUUGAGGCUGGGAGAGGCGAUCGGAAUUCCUGGUGUAGCGGUGAAAUGCGUAGAUAUCAGGAGGAACACCGGUGGCGAAGGCAGGUCUCUGGGCAUUAACUGACGCUGAGGAGCGAAAGCAUGGGGAGCGAACAGG
This 253-nucleotide ribosomal RNA is filed under the name uncultured bacterium. Its description in RNAcentral is "partial 16S ribosomal RNA". It matches the Rfam family "Bacterial small subunit ribosomal RNA", at positions 524 to 776 of the family's 1533-position model. The record is from RNAcentral.